CACGCAGGCGGUUUUUAAGUCAGAUGUGAAAGGUACCGGCUCAACCGGUGACAUGCAUUUGAAACUGAAAGACUUGAGUAUUGGAGAGGCAAGUGGAAUUCCUAGUGUAGCGGUGAAAUGCGUAGAGAUUAGGAGGAACACCAGUGGCGAAGGCGGCUUGCUGGACAAAUACUGACGCUGAGGUGCGAAAGCGUGGGGAGCAAACA
RNAcentral lists this ribosomal RNA (206 nucleotides) under uncultured bacterium. RNAcentral describes it as "partial 16S ribosomal RNA". It matches the Rfam family "Bacterial small subunit ribosomal RNA", at positions 568 to 774 of the family's 1533-position model. RNAcentral also lists the same sequence under 1 other name. The record is from RNAcentral.